This 490-nucleotide ribosomal RNA is filed under the name uncultured bacterium. RNAcentral's name for it is "bacterial SSU rRNA". It matches the Rfam family "Bacterial small subunit ribosomal RNA", at positions 356 to 859 of the family's 1533-position model. The record is from RNAcentral.
UGGGAAUCUUGCACAAUGGGCGAAAGCCUGAUGCAGCAACGCCGCGUGCGGGAAGACAGCCCUAGGGUUGUAAACCGCUUUCAGCAGGGAAGAAACUGACGGUACCUGCAGAAGAAGAUGCGGCCAACUACGUGCCAGCAGCCGCGGUGACACGUAGGCAUCAAGCGUUAUCCGGAUUUAUUGGGCGUAAAGAGCUCGUAGGCGGUUCGGUAAGUCGGGUGUGAAAACUCUGGGCUCAACCCAGAGAGGCCACUCGAUACUGCUGUGACUUGAGUACGGUAGGGGAGCGGGGAAUUCCUGGUGUAGCGGUGAAAUGCGCAGAUAUCAGGAGGAACACCAGUGGCGAAGGCGCCGCUCUGGGCCGUAACUGACGCUGAGGAGCGAAAGCAUGGGUAGCAAACAGGAUUAGAUACCCUGGUAGUCCAUGCCGUAAACGUUGGGCACUAGGUGUGGGUCUCAACCGAACGAGAUCCGCGCCGUCGCUAACGCA